Gymnodraco acuticeps is the source of this 164-nucleotide long non-coding RNA. RefSeq lists it as uncharacterized. The record is from RefSeq and is a predicted model, not a curated record. Lineage: Eukaryota; Metazoa; Chordata; Actinopteri; Perciformes; Bathydraconidae. The transcript is spliced from 2 exons.
AAUGUUCAGCAUUCUCAACACAUACAAUACACAACAGCAACACAACAUGUUCUUCAGUUAUAUUAUGUCUCUAGGUUAUAAAUUGUUUUAGACUGAACAAAGCUGUUUGUGUCACACUGGGAUCAAAGAUGAUUGACAUGACUUUAUUAAAUCAAGUUUUAAAA